This 64-nucleotide transfer RNA is filed under the name Metanephrops sibogae (Siboga lobster). Its description in RNAcentral is "tRNA-Leu". The record is from RNAcentral. Lineage: Eukaryota; Metazoa; Arthropoda; Malacostraca; Decapoda; Nephropidae.
UUUGAAAUGACAGACAGAUGUGCAGGAUUUAAGCUCCUGUUAGGGAGGAUUUCUCCUUUCAAUA